RNAcentral lists this ribosomal RNA (515 nucleotides) under uncultured bacterium. RNAcentral's name for it is "bacterial SSU rRNA". It matches the Rfam family "Bacterial small subunit ribosomal RNA", at positions 28 to 534 of the family's 1533-position model. The record is from RNAcentral.
GAUGAACGCUAGCGGCAGGCUUAAUACAUGCAAGUCGUGGGGCAGCAGGACGGUAGCAAUACCGUUGCUGGCGACCGGCAAACGGGUGCGGAACACGUACACAACCUUCCUUUAAGUGGGGGAUAGCCCGGGGAAACCCGGAUUAAUACCCCGUAAUAUAUAGAAGCGGCAUCGUUUUUAUAUUAUAGCUCCGGCGCUUAGAGAUGGGUGUGCGGCUGAUUAGAUAGUUGGCGGGGUAACGGCCCACCAAGUCGACGAUCAGUAACUGGUGUGAGAGCACGACCAGUCACACGGGCACUGAGACACGGGCCCGACUCCUACGGGAGGCAGCAGUAAGGAAUAUUGGUCAAUGGACGCAAGUCUGAACCAGCCAUGCCGCGUGGAGGAUGAAGGUCCUCUGGAUUGUAAACUUCUUUUAUUUGGGAAGAAAUCUAUCUUUUCUUGGAUAGUUGACGGUACCAGAUGAAUAAGCACCGGCUAACUCCGUGCCAGCAGCCGCGGUAAUACGGAGGGUG